This 253-nucleotide ribosomal RNA is filed under the name uncultured bacterium. RNAcentral describes it as "partial 16S ribosomal RNA". It matches the Rfam family "Bacterial small subunit ribosomal RNA", at positions 524 to 776 of the family's 1533-position model. The record is from RNAcentral.
UACGUAGGGUGCAAGCGUUAAUCGGAAUUACUGGGCGUAAAGCGUGCGCAGGCGGUGAUGUAAGUCAGAUGUGAAAUCCCCGGGCUCAACCUGGGAACUGCAUUUGUGACUGCAUCGCUGGAGUGCGGCAGAGGGGGAUGGAAUUCCGCGUGUAGCAGUGAAAUGCGUAGAUAUGCGGAGGAACACCGAUGGCGAAGGCAAUCCCCUGGACCUGUACUGACGCUCAUGCACGAAAGCGUGGGGAGCAAACAGG